UGGCCGUCCCUGCCGCCAGGCCGUCGGUCCGGGGCUGGCGGCGGGGCUGGCGGCGCGUGUUUAUCCAGAGACAGGCCAGACUAUGAUUCCCAUUUUACCGGUGAGGAAACGGAGGCUCAGAAAGUCAAGGACUUGCCCAGCACCGAUGCUGCCCGCCGCCCAGCGUCUGUCUGUAUCUCUGCCUUUGGGAGCAGCCCUCUUCCAGCUCUGUCUGUGGCGGGGCCUUUCCAGGGGCGGGCAACCUGUGUCUCCGCCACUCCAGGAUUUUCUCCCCACACUCCUGCCCAUCUUGACCCUCACAGACCGGAACCCUGUCAUACGCCUGUCUCACUGGGUCUCCCAGGGGCCCUGGUGGACAGGCAGCAGGGGGUCGGAUCAAAGCUGUAGACGCCGGCCUACAUCACAGCCACCGCAACGCCAGAUCCGA
Phacochoerus africanus (Common warthog) is the source of this 427-nucleotide long non-coding RNA. RefSeq lists it as uncharacterized. The record is from RefSeq and is a predicted model, not a curated record. The transcript has 3 exons. Lineage: Eukaryota; Metazoa; Chordata; Mammalia; Artiodactyla; Suidae.